GGCAGGACUAAAACGUCAUGUCACAAAGGGCUGUUAGCACGGGUCAUCUGUGACACCCUCUCCCCACAGCGCAUCCUUGGCCCACCCAUGUCUGUCCCCUUACUGUUUUCCAGACCCUCAGAUCCACUUCUCACAGCCAUUUCCCCCCGUCCCCCACCCCUACCCCAUGCCCAGCAUCACCAAGGUCACCCGGGCCCCUGUGUGACGCUCACACGCACGCACCCUCACGCCUGCACACGCACCCUACAGCUCACACUUACUGGCACCCACAUCCUGGCACGUGUUUGCACACACACGUGAAUCCAGGGUCCACAGCCUCAGCCGCAUGCCCGCUCUGGGGUCCAGCAGCCGGAUCGCUCUCCAGAAAGUGCCACAGGAAGCAGACGUCAUCGUGACCUGGCAAGCACUUUGGGGUGUCACCCGCAGCCAACAAAGAGAGCGAGAGCGAGAGCGAGAGAGAGAGCGCUUACUACUCUCCGAGGCCAGGACGAGCUGGUCUCAAAGGGUCACACGCUGACUGCAAUCGCAUGGAACCCAUCACCACAGCUCAGAGGCCGCCCAGGGACGGGCGGGGCGGCAGUGGAAGGGGCUGAUAACGAGCUCAGGGGUUUCUGGGGGUGCAGACGUUCUGGAACCGGACGGCGGUGUUGGGGACCCAGCACGCGACCCAUAAAGGACACCGAGGCGCACGCUGCAAAGUGGCUGAUGGUUAAUUUCACGUGUGAAAACUCAAUAAAACUGCACAUCAGCCUCACUCAUAAAGGAA
This is a long non-coding RNA of Panthera uncia (snow leopard), 766 nucleotides long. RefSeq lists it as uncharacterized. The transcript has 2 exons. The record is from RefSeq and is a predicted model, not a curated record. NCBI's taxonomy places the organism in Eukaryota, Metazoa, Chordata, Mammalia, Carnivora, Felidae.